RNAcentral lists this ribosomal RNA (254 nucleotides) under uncultured bacterium. Its description in RNAcentral is "partial 16S ribosomal RNA". It matches the Rfam family "Bacterial small subunit ribosomal RNA", at positions 524 to 776 of the family's 1533-position model. The record is from RNAcentral.
CACGUAGGGGGCGAGCGUUGUCCGGAUUUAUUGGGCGUAAAGAGCUCGUAGGCGGCUCAGUAAGUCGGGUGUGAAAACUCCAGGCUCAACCUGGAGACGCCACCUGAUACUGCUGUGGCUAGAGUCCGGUAGGGGAGCAUGGAAUUCCUGGUGUAGCGGUGAAAUGCGCAGAUAUCAGGAGGAACACCGGUGGCGAAGGCGGGUCUCUGGGCAACAACUGACGCUGAGGAGCGAAAGCGUGGGGAGCGAACAGG